GGCCACAUCAAAUUGAAACACUGGAUCCUGUAUGAUCAUCAAAGUUAAACAAUGUCAAGCCAGGUCAUUACCUAGAUGGGUGACUGCUUGAGAAUACCAGGUGCUGUAAG
Non-coding RNA from Acanthosepion pharaonis, 110 nucleotides. NCBI's taxonomy places the organism in Eukaryota, Metazoa, Mollusca, Cephalopoda, Sepiida, Sepiidae. The record is from the annotation of a GenBank genome assembly.